CUGCUCGGCGAGAGCAGCCGCGUCAUCAAUCCGUGCAGCCCCGACGCCUCCGCGUCUCGCUUCGUCGGGUCUGCACAGCCUCUUCGCGCCAUGCGGACAGCAGCAACAACUAAGUUAUUUUUGGAUCGAGAGAUGGUGAUCGUGCACGUGAUAUGGUGCCAACCACAAGAUGCCGUUGGUGGACGACCCAAGGAAGGAUGGACUUAA
RNAcentral lists this unclassified non-coding RNA (207 nucleotides) under Zea mays. Its description in RNAcentral is "misc RNA Zm00001eb184210". Lineage: Eukaryota; Viridiplantae; Streptophyta; Magnoliopsida; Poales; Poaceae. The record is from RNAcentral.